GUUGUCCUAGGUAGCCUAGUGGUCAUGGCAUCUGCCCGGUAAGCGGAAGGUCGUGGGUUCGAUUCCCAUCCCUUUACA
This 78-nucleotide transfer RNA is filed under the name Cordylochernes scorpioides. RNAcentral's name for it is "tRNA-Thr". The stretch from base 10 to 71 matches the Rfam family "tRNA", at positions 6 to 65 of the family's 71-position model. From Rfam's summary of the family: Transfer RNA (tRNA) molecules are approximately 80 nucleotides in length. Their secondary structure includes four short double-helical elements and three loops (D, anti-codon, and T loops). Further hydrogen bonds mediate the characteristic L-shaped molecular structure. tRNAs have two regions of fundamental functional importance: the anti-codon, which is responsible for specific mRNA codon recognition, and the 3' end, to which the tRNAs corresponding amino acid is attached (by aminoacyl-tRNA synthetases). tRNAs cope with the degeneracy of the genetic code in two manners: having more than one tRNA (with a specific anti-codon) for a particular amino acid; and 'wobble' base-pairing, i.e. permitting non-standard base-pairing at the 3rd anti-codon position. Lineage: Eukaryota; Metazoa; Arthropoda; Arachnida; Pseudoscorpiones; Chernetidae. The record is from RNAcentral.